GAAAUAAAGGUUUGACAGCAGGUGAGGCCAGGAGAGCUGGUUAGCCUGCAUAUAAUCUCUGCUUCUGCAUUUGGAGGGUGAGGAGACACAGUCUGAGGUGGGAUGUCCUGCUUUCAGGAAUCAUUCUGAAGGUCUUCUCUUUCACUUUCCCACUUCUGUCAUUCUUGACUUGCACCACCUUUUUUUUUUAUUUAUUUUUCACUCAAGACCUUUUUUGCCUAAUUACUUGCUCCUAUUCAAGAAUAUCUGGAAAAGUUUGUCAGAUGGAAAAAAGAGUUAUCUGUUUUCUCAGUUUCCCAAUUUUUGCAUAUGUGUAUUCUUUUUAACCUCUGCAAAUUCUCUAAGAAUAGGAGGAAGGAAAAAAUGAAGUAACCAAAGACAAGGCAAAAUCAGAAAAUCAAAAAAAAUUCUGAAAUUAAAUUAAACUGUCAUAUCAAAUUUUUACUAAAACAAUGGGUUGUUAAAAUGGCGUAGAAAGUGCUCAUUUCCAUUUGUAAUUAUUCGAAAGAGUUUUAAAAGGCCAUAAUUUUUACUAUUUCUGCUAGAUUUCAUUUGGUAAUGCCCUUGUACCAGUAGAGGUCAAUACCUCCCAGUGAUUCUGUGUCUGUGGGAUGAACAGUUUGGGUUUGGUUUUCUUUAGAAAAGAGUGGAAUUUGGUAUGGCUGAUGUGCAAGAGGAAAAACUGAAAGAUAGCUGUGCCCAAGGACAGAAGAGUUAAGAGAUUCCCCACCCACACUUGGGACUUUGGGAAGCAAAACUCCUUGCCUGUGACUGUGACUCAUUGUGUGAGUCCCACUAGCUCUUUGUAGGUGAUAGUUGGAAAAAAAUGGGUAAAAACAAGAGAAAAAUAUGUGCACUGUGUGUGUGUUAUACAAAUGAUAUGUUUACUCGUGUGGCCAGGCAAAGGUUCUCCUGAAGCUGGGUUAAAGGUGGAAAGACGUGGUCUCUGUUAAAAGUAAGAAGUAAUGCUAUGAGAAAAAGCAAUGCUGAAGUUGGUGUGGUGCAUGUAGCAUGACUGUAAGUAGCUCAGCAGUAUCUGAGCUGUAACUGCUGUUGGAGAACAUUGUCCUCUGGAAAACGUUCGACAGGUUCCUGGAAGGUCUGUGGCCCUGGGGAGACUCAGUGUCUAUAUUCGCGAUUUGGAAAACAACCUGAAAGGGCUGGAGAUAGCACAAAGAUGGUGUGUGACAGUCAAAGCCAAUGAGUUACACAGUGGCUGCAUAAUCUCUGCAAAAGUGCCAUUAGCCAUAAGGAGCUGAUCCCUUCCAUACAGUGCUGGUGAGACCAUGACUGUGGGCAGCUUCCACGCCCAUAACCCACAUAUCUGCAGAGGCCUCAAAAACCCAGUGAGGUGAUUUAUGAUUGUGCUGCUUAGCACACUCAGUGGAAGGCUGAGAGAAGGCUGUGUGGGAGCCACAGCAGACAGUUUUUGUAAUUUUUGCUUUGCAGACCACCACGAUUUUCCAGGGGAGAUGCAAGCCUGGGAUAGCGGCUGUUGAGCUCAUAGACUCGCUUUGUUUAAUUAUCAUUCGCAGACUGUUUAACAGGGGCCUGGAGACCCUAGGAACUGCCAAGAGCCAGAGGUUGGCAACCACCAACAUCUCUGUAGGAAGAAGGUGAAAAGGGAGGGCCAUUUUGCCUCCCUGCUACCCCAGAGCUGCCUUGUGAAGUGAGACAUGCUACAGUUAAGGAGCCUGGAAUGACUGUGCCACCCUUGCCCACACCAUGACCAUGGCCAUUCCAUGUUUCCGACUGGGAAGGGAGCUUCCAUGCAGCACAGCAAGUCACCACCUGAGCGAUACGUGCGCACAUGUGGGUGCCCCUGUGUAUUUUUGGCUCUGCUGCCAACACUUUGGAGAGAGUUAUGAGAUGGAUGAGAGAGAUUUGGUCCAGACUUGUGUCUCUAUCACAAAAUCGGGCUGUGGUUCAGCACCGGGCAGGCUUUUCUGCCAUCAACUUACCCUUAGAUGGGGACAGAGCAGCUGCUGGAACAAUUUGUGGUGUGGAUAACUGAAGAGUGCAUCUGCAAAAUACCUUCUGCUUGCAGACCCUUACAUUGCCCUAAAGGAAUCAGUCGAUUUGCAGGGGAGGAUGCUACAGUGCAGGAUCCUAGAACUGUUAAAGGAUUUAAUCCAAACAUUCAAGAGUCAGAAAGCCAGUUGGAUCCUGACAGGAGGGACAUUGAUGCAAAGUCCUUGCUGGGUUUCUGGUGCUCAGAAAUCUUCCUAACAACCCCCAUGUCAUGAGUGUUUUGGUGAAGAACUAUAUAAAAAUACCAGAAGUGUGUUAUGCAAUAAGGUGUUUGGGAUUACAAGGGAGACCUUGCAAAUCUAGCCAUGAAGCAUCUGCAUGGAAAAAAGAAAAUUUAAUUCGCAUCUUCUUUCAGCUGCAACCUAAACUUUGUGCUAAGUUAAAUCUCCCCAGCCCUGGGCUGAUCCCUGUAGCCCCUCCAGGGUUUUCAAUGCAUCCAACAAUGAAAGUGAAAUCCAAUCCCAUCCAAUUAGAGGAAAAUGAAUGGCUCAUCUACAAUAAAUGGGCUCUGAAUAACAAUAAGCCAACAAGAGAGCAAUGAACUGGAGACAGAGUACAAUCUUCCUGAAUGUUAAUCGGCAACUAACUCCACAAGCUUCUUAGGGAUGGAAAGAAUUGGAGGAAAAUAGAUUAGGGAAGCUUUAGAGCACAUUGCCUUUUAACUGCUUAGGCCUCACAUUUUUACCUAAAUACAAGAAUGUUUCUAAUGCUGCCUUUUGCAGAGUGGAGGGAGGGUGUGUGUGAUGGGGGUGUUUGUUCUCAAAGUUAAAUGUUUUCAGUUUAUUUGUAAUUUGUCGUGGUAGGUCCUACUAUAUAGCCUCUACUGUUAUUUCAUGGUUUUAUUUAUUCAAAAGUCCUUUUCUAAAAUUAAAAAUGGCAGAAGCCUUGGAAAAUGCUUUCUGUAGAUCUGAGAAUUUGGGGAAUGAGGCUGAAUGAAUUCAGGCCUUAGCCUGAGACUGAAGAGAAGCUGGAGAGGCAAAAAAGAAAGGAUGAGGAAAACUCUGCUGGAGUUUUCCUUAAGUUCAGCUUAACUUAAGUUCAGCUGCUGAAGUGCCGUCUGUACCAGCAAGGUCCCCCGAUGCUGCCUGCUCUCUGGUUCCACCCAGAUGCCUUUUCAUGCUGUCAAGGCUAGUAAUACCUGAAAUACCUCAGCUCAGCUCAGCUCAGCUGCCGCUUUCCACUGCCCUCAGCCUCGCAGACAAGCAGAGAUCUUAUUCAGCCAGACCAGCACUACCAUCCCCUACUGCCUACCUUCAUCCCCAGGAGUCAGCUCAGAGGCCAUGAGCAGUGUCAACAGCUGAUGAGGCCUCACCAGAAAAGGGAACCAUCGCCACUUUUUUCUGUGACCAUCAUACAUUCAAAGCACUGCAGCCCAAGGGCUGACAUCCAUUUUCUUUUGGCACUGGACCACCUCUCCCAUGAAGACCUGCACCAGGGGCUCCUACAAGGCUCCUGCCACUGCUUCACACAGUGGGCAGCUGAGAUGCCCAAUGGAUGGAUGAUUUUCUCUCAGCCAGGAGUGCUUCCUCACCAGAAACUUCAACAUCAACCCUGGGCAUUGUUCCAGACAAUAAGAACCGUAAGAUGUCAUGGAUGGAACAGCUGUCCCGGGAACUUCCACUUGGGGGGAAAGCAUGUGACCAAGGUGUGUGAUUUAAUCUCUGUAGAAAUGGGAAUGAUUUGAGUGGUUUUGCUUGGAAGUAUUAGGCUGAAUUUAGAGAGUAUGUUUACAAUUUUUAAUCAGAAUUAUCACAUUGUCAUUUUGUAAUCAAUGAGUAGUCAGAACAUUCCUUUGUACGUUUGAUUAAUUGUCUUGGGUCUAUGCAUGAAGAAAUGGCACCACCUCCCUCAUACUCCCCAUAAUGCACAGUGGAUAUGAUACACUAUAUUUUGUCCAAGAAUGGUCCAUUCUUGUGAGGCUUUACCCUUUCCAUGAUUCAUCUCAGAAAGAUGUCUUCUCUUAUUUUUUACUUUUUUCUUCGAGGUACUUCGUGUUGCUCAGAAAUGAACCAAAGCUAAGCAAGCUGGGAAGGCUCUCAUUAUCUAAUGCCUGAACUCUGAAACAGUGCAACUAAUGAUGGCAAGUGGUUAAUGAUGGGUCAACAAAGGGAUAUGACUAAUGAAGGGAAAAGGAUUGCAGAAAUGCAAAGUCACUGAGUGCACUGUAUGGCAGAUAAAAACUCCCUAAGUCCUUGUAACCCCAAGCCUGCAGUCAUGUUUUCACCCUCCCACUCCCUUUCCUGGUAGCACAGCAAGAAUUUCCAAAUCAUCCAUGGCAGGACCUGGCAAAGCUGCAACUCCCACUACACGAGUUCAGGCUGACCACACACCCCCCCAACCUCUGUCUGCUCCAUGGGAUGUCAGAGAGUUGUACUGGCAUGUCCUCUAAGCAAGGACAGCAAUCCCAACAAUUCUUUAAAACAAAAAGUAGUUCUGUGUCUUCUACAGACUGUUAACUGCAUUACAGGAGUGAGUCAGUGCUUUAAAAUGCAAGUAAUUAACAAUUACUCUCAUCAUCACUGCUAUUAUUUUUAUUCCUUUUCUUUAAGGGAAAAAGCAGUUGAAGGAGAGGGUUUGAUUCAAAAAUCAGGAGAAGAAAGGAAGCUAUACUCCACAUACUGAAGAAGGGUACAAAACCAUUGUGCAGAAUCUAGAUGUGGUUGUAUACAGGAGUCCAGGGUUUGUGAAACCAUGUGAUUUCCUUUACUUUUGAAUGUUCCUUUUAUUCACUCGAUAUGCCAACUGUAAGUAUGGAGUGAUCAGGCAGAGAUCAGACACAACAUUAGAAAGCUGUAGGAUCACCAACUAUUCACUCCUUAAUAGUGUCAAUAGGAUCUUACUUUUUAUUUAAAGUAGGUGACUUGUAGUUCAAAAGUGACACGAAGGUACUUUCUGUGACUUUUUCCACACCUAUUUUACACCUCUGUGUCAUAUUUGUCUUUUCGUUUGUAGGAAUAAACACAAUAACAGCAAAAAUAAUCUCUGGUAUGUCACUACUGUGAUAGGCACAACUUGAGAACAGGGCAAGGUGCUGGCUCUCUUGAUUUAGAGCUAGCAUUGAUCAGACCAUUUACUAGAACCUAAGACAGACCCUGGUGUGGUUUACUGUUAUGCUGCUACCUCUGGAAGGUACCAAGAGUACCCGAAAGCACUUGCUUAUCUAUAAUCUGAUAAUUAAAUAGCUGUAACUAGUCUGGAGAUCUUUGCCUGAUUUUUCAAAUGCUUGUGUGUCUCAUCAGUCCACUGGGAAGAACAAGGAAGCAGAGCAGGGAGUUGAAUGUCUAAUUAAACUGGUGGAAGGCAGGUAUCCAGCUCUGCAGAGACAUCUUGGGAGAGAAAAGCAAGGAAAGAGGUGCUCAAUGCCUUUACAUGCCUGGGUUUUAUCUUUGGUUAGUCGUAACCUCAAAAACAUGGAAGAACUUCUUGCUGCAUAUAUCUGUAAAUCCGAUAAUGUUAAUGUUUUAUUUCACAACAAAAAUGGGGGCAUGGUAGAGAUAGACUUGAGGAGUGACUUCAUGCUUGGCACGGCGUAUUAUUUUAAAUGUCAACCUCUUGGGGAAGGUUCCCAUGCCAACAAUUUUCUUCAGAGGUUCGACACUAUGAAAGUGGGUGAACACAUACCCAACUGAUAACUCAUUCAACCUCCCACCUUCAUAAAACAGAGUAAAAAGUCUUACAAAAACACAGUAGUAAGUAGAGCAUACAGCUGGGAAACAGCAAGAAGGACAUUUAAUUUAAAAAUUAAUAACAAAAACCAAAGCGUCACAAAAGAGCUGCUGCAUUUCUAUGCAGCAUGCCACACCUAGGAGAUUAAACAGAAAUAUUAUCAUCUAUACCUAUUUAUUCAAGGCAGGGAUCUGACCUUUCCAGGCUCAUUUGUUUCAGCAAACUUUGCUCAUGCUACUCAUGACUGCUCGUAUUCACAGGACUUGCAAGAUUAGAACAUCAAAUAACUGCUGACAAUAAAAAGACAGUGUAAGACAGGAGGAACAAUAGUGUUUCUUCUUAUGUAAUUAUCUUUUUUGUUUCUUUAAGACUCUGAGAAACCACUUCAAAUAUUUUGAUCAGUUUCCUGUCAAAGGUAAGUUCUUUAAUAGGCCACUGUACUUCUAUAGAUAGGAAGCUUUUCUGCGAUUGUUGCGAAUCUCAAUUAAUACAUUAAACCAGGUACUACAGUUCUAGUAAAUACUAUUAUAGUGAUUAUUUUAUUCCAUGUUUGUCAACGUCUACCCAAUCAUUUUCUCAGCUCUACAGAAGAAAUGCCACCCUGCAGGUUGAGCAACAGAUCCAGACUGCCUCAGGGGAUGAGUGGCUUCAGUCUUGUCCCUUGACCCCAAAAUGACACCAUGGCCUGACCUAUAAAAUGUGGACAAUAGAAUCUAUUCACCUUUGUAAACACUAGUGCAACAUAUGGUUGAAUAGUAGUAUGUAAAUUUGAAAUCUUAAUUAAACUGAGGCAGAGAGCCAAGUAAUCACAAGACACACACUACUUGAAGCAAGCUCAUUAAUAGUCCUGCUGCUGGAACCAGUUUCUUAAUGGCUCAGUAAUGAGCUGACUACAAUCUGCAAAACCACGGAUCUUGAUAAUUUUUUAAGUAAAUAAUUAGAUUGUAAUAAUGACUUGAACUUGUGUGUGCACAUGUAACAAAAAACCGAUACCUCCAAGCACUUAACAGACUAGGACUUAAAAUCUGUUCUUGCUUAUUCCCAAAUUGUAUUGGUAUAACUCUGAAGUCAGCUGUGUUACAGAAAGGAAGGAGGAUACUCUGGCUUUUCUGUCAGUACCUGGCACUGUCAUGGGACUUCAGUAGGAUGUUUAAUCUGUUACUUUCUGACCCCUCAAUCAAAGAUGUUGCACAACCAACCCACAUCUUUGAGUUUCUUCCCUUGCAUGCUCCAGUCACUCUGUACUCCAACCAGACAGACAGUUUCAUUUGCUAUGAGAUGAGAUGCACCUGCAGGUAAGGUAUCACGCUUAAUCAAGCAUGUCUCUUCAUAUGCAGUGACAACAUUACAUACAUUUGAGUAGGGUAUCCUGCUCUUUCAUUCCACCCUGGUUUUGUUAGGAGGAACGUUGGCCAGCAGCCUCACUACCAUCAAAUGUUGGAUAUUAAUCUCCCUCCUUCCCCUCCUUUCUUCUUUCCUUCCUUCCAGCACAUUAUUAACCUAGGUCAUCUAUUCAGGGAACUCAUUUUUAAGCCCCAAGAUAGAUUUAUAUUUCUAAUUUGCAAAAGCACAGUCCUUGCCUAAUCUCUCUCCAUUACAUCACAGGUAUGGAUCUGCAAUGGAGAUGUAUUCACAUCCAUGGCACACAACUUAGAAAAUAACAUCCCAUAAGGUCCAUCUCCGGCCUUGGCUGCUCCACUGCACAAUCUCUAGGAAUGGAUCAAACGAAACAGCACAUGCAGUAUCUCACAUUGCCUCCCUCAUUCAACAUGUCUCCUGUUUAGCAAACAGUUCAGUGGGAGUUUGCUGUCCAGUCACAUGCCUGCAGAGUUCAGCAGACACAUGCUCUCCCCACAGCUUUGACUUUUCACAACGUUUACCUAUAAUGGGAAAAUGGAACUGCAAGGCCUAGGAAUUCAGCAGACACUCAUCACAUUUUCAAUUAAGUUCUGCACUGAGAGCAAAAGACUUUCAGGGCUCUUUCCUACGUCUACAUUGAAUCCGAUACAGUAAAACUCCAACUCUGGCUGCAGCUCCCCACAGAUACUGCAGCAGUAGAAGCAACCACAAUCCUCAUAAUGGAAUACAAAACGUAUAUAUUUUUACUUCAAUUAUUUUCUGCAUCUAUAAUCAUAGUGCAUUCACAGACAAAAUCUAAAACCCUAUAAUCUAAAUGAAGGAACCACUCCUCCACCAGGGAAGACAGAAUGUUGUAUUUUUUCCAUUUUAAAAUUGUUAAGAAGGUAAUUAUAUGCUAUUUGCAAUCAAGGAACGUUACUUAUUUCUCAGUAAGAUCAAAUAAUAUAAAUAAGUCUUGACUGAAUAUACCAACAGCAGACCAUCUUUGAAACUAUUUAUAAAGGAAAUGUUCAGUGAAUGAAAAAUUAAAUGAGACCAAAAAUAGCCAUGAUGAUACCUCUGCAACCAAAACCUUUUCCUCAGCUUUGACGUUGGUUUAGCAAAGUAACAGGGACACUGCUCAUUUGUUUUCUGUUGUUCACAGAGAUGUCUGCCUGAAGUUAUUUCAGUUACUACACCUGUUAGUGAAACUCCUCUGCCAGUGGCUGUGGUUUAAUGAGGAAGUUGGUUCUUUCUGUCAACUCAGCAAAACACUUGACUGAGUCCUUCUGUGCCAUCCUAAGUCUUUCAGAGUCUGAAAAGGUUUUAAUCUCUGCAAUGCCUUUAAUUUUCAGUUACUAGGAGGCAAAACAUACUUCGAUGCCUCAUGCUGUAAAGUUUAUGGGUGAUUAACUCUACUACAGAAAAAAUAUUCAAGCAGCAACUCUUUCUGUUGCCACGAGAAGCUACAGGCCUUGCAUUUGAAGCAGAGCACCGCAUGUAAAGAAAACACUAUGUACAGCUGGGCCUUAGGGCAAGGAAUGAAUAGCAGCUACAGGUAAAUAUCCUCAUCUCAAAGAUCAAAAAGGUGGCAACAGUUGUGGGCAGGGUUUUUUAGU
Long non-coding RNA from Pipra filicauda (Wire-tailed manakin), 8654 nucleotides. RefSeq lists it as uncharacterized. The record is from RefSeq and is a predicted model, not a curated record. The transcript has 5 exons. Lineage: Eukaryota; Metazoa; Chordata; Aves; Passeriformes; Pipridae.